Molecule: microRNA, 20 nt
Filed under: Gallus gallus (chicken)
Lineage: Eukaryota; Metazoa; Chordata; Aves; Galliformes; Phasianidae
Description: gga-miR-1798-5p
Source: miRBase by way of RNAcentral
AACGUGACACUUUAGAAAAC